RNAcentral lists this ribosomal RNA (1507 nucleotides) under Campylobacter jejuni. RNAcentral's name for it is "partial 23S ribosomal RNA". It matches the Rfam family "Bacterial large subunit ribosomal RNA", at positions 1 to 1536 of the family's 2925-position model. The record is from RNAcentral. Lineage: Bacteria; Pseudomonadati; Campylobacterota; Epsilonproteobacteria; Campylobacterales; Campylobacteraceae.
AGGUAAGCUACUAAGAGCGAAUGGUGGAUGCCUUGACUGGUAAAGGCGAUGAAGGACGUACUAGACUGCGAUAAGCUACGGGGAGCUGUCAAGAAGCUUUGAUCCGUAGAUUUCCGAAUGGGUCAACCCAAUGUAUAGAGAUAUACAUUACCUAUAUAGGAGCGAACGAGGGGAAUUGAAACAUCUUAGUACCCUCAGGAAAAGAAAUCAAUAGAGAUUGCGUCAGUAGCGGCGAGCGAAAGCGCAAGAGGGCAAACCCAGUGCUUGCACUGGGGGUUGUAGGACUGCAAUGUGCAAGAGGUAAGUUUAGCAGAACAUUCUGGAAAGUAUAACCAUAGAGGGUGAUAGUCCCGUAUGCGAAAAACAAACCUUAGCUAGCAGUAUCCUGAGUAGGGCGGGACACGAGGAAUCCUGUCUGAAUCCGGGUCGACCACGAUCCAACCCUAAAUACUAAUACCAGAUCGAUAGUGCACAAGUACCGUGAGGGAAAGGUGAAAAGAACUGAGGUGAUCAGAGUGAAAUAGAACCUGAAACCAUUUGCUUACAAUCAUUCAGAGCCCUAUGUAGCAAUACAGGGUGAUGGACUGCCUUUUGCAUAAUGAGCCUGCGAGUUGUGGUGUCUGGCAAGGUUAAGCAAACGCGAAGCCGUAGCGAAAGCGAGUCUGAAUAGGGCGCUUAGUCAGAUGCUGCAGACCCGAAACGAAGUGAUCUAUCCAUGAGCAAGUUGAAGCUAGUGUAAGAACUAGUGGAGGACUGAACCCAUAGGCGUUGAAAAGCCCCGGGAUGACUUGUGGAUAGGGGUGAAAGGCCAAUCAAACUUCGUGAUAGCUGGUUCUCUCCGAAAUAUAUUUAGGUAUAGCGUUGUGUCGUAAUAUAAGGGGGUAGAGCACUGAAUGGGCUAGGGCAUACACCAAUGUACCAAACCCUAUCAAACUCCGAAUACCUUAUAUGUAAUCACAGCAGUCAGGCGGCGAGUGAUAAAAUCCGUCGUCAAGAGGGAAACAACCCAGACUACCAGCUAAGGUCCCUAAAUCUUACUUAAGUGGAAAACGAUGUGAAGUUACUUAAACAACCAGGAGGUUGGCUUAGAAGCAGCCAUCCUUUAAAGAAAGCGUAAUAGCUCACUGGUCUAGUGAUUUUGCGCGGAAAAUAUAACGGGGCUAAAGUAAGUACCGAAGCUGUAGACUUAGUUUACUAAGUGGUAGGAGAGCGUUCUAUUUGCGUCGAAGGUAUACCGGUAAGGAGUGCUGGAGCGAAUAGAAGUGAGCAUGCAGGCAUGAGUAGCGAUAAUUAAUGUGAGAAUCAUUAACGCCGUAAACCCAAGGUUUCCUACGCGAUGCUCGUCAUCGUAGGGUUAGUCGGGUCCUAAGUCGAGUCCGAAAGGGGUAGACGAUGGCAAAUUGGUUAAUAUUCCAAUACCAACAUUAGUGUGCGAUGGAAGGACGCUUAGGGCUAAGGGGGCUAGCGGAUGGAAGUGCUAGUCUAAGGUCGUAGGAGGUUGUACAGG